Eurypyga helias (sunbittern) is the source of this 1877-nucleotide long non-coding RNA. RefSeq lists it as uncharacterized. The transcript is spliced from 2 exons. The record is from RefSeq and is a predicted model, not a curated record. Lineage: Eukaryota; Metazoa; Chordata; Aves; Eurypygiformes; Eurypygidae.
UCCUUCUGCAGAGAAGAGAGUGAAAGUGUGCUGACGCUGAAAGGCUUGACUCCAACCGGAAUGCUGCCCAGUGGUGUACUCUCUGGAGGAAAACAAACACUGCAAAGCGCUAUCAAAGGAUUUUCACCCCAGCAUAAGAUCACUAGCUUCGAAGAGGCCAAAGGCUUAGAUCGAAUUAAUGAGCGAAUGCCUCCACGCAGAGACGUGCCAUCCGAUGCCAACCUUAACUCCAUCAACAAGGCAAUCUCCACAGAGACUAAUGGCACAGACAGCAACGGCAGUAAUAGCAGCAAUAUUCAGUGACCACUGGCUGGGAGGGGGGUUGAGCUGCAGGGCACGAUGGGGUUGCUGCACAUCAGCAGUGGGAUGUUCUUGCCUCUGAUAACAGCUUACUUGCUCUGGGGGCCAGGUGUUGGAUUCAGUUUACAAAAAUCAUCUACAAAGAGAUCGUCAACUUUAAUUUGGUGGGAGGGGGGUGGGGGCGAAACACCUCCUUUGGAUAUGCCUUUAAAAUGCUUGUAGAAGAAUGAAAGCUCAUGCUGGCAUAUAUUGCAAAGUUAGGGGAAUGAACAUGUUUUCCUACUGCAUUGGGAAUGUCUAGGUAUGUUACUGAAAGGCCUUUUAUUAUGUUACUGGACAUGAAAACUUUGUUUAAUUUCUUACUAACUAUUGUACGUUUACAGUUGCAGCACUAAACAUGGACAACAUCAAAACAUUUUUAACAAAAUGUACAAACUAAAUAAGGACUAUUUAUUGAUAAUGUUUUGCUACUCUUGUCAGACAAUGGCUAUGAAAUAAAUUAGGCAGUCUUUAAAAACAUAGAGAAAAAAAGAAAAAAAAUGUUGGAAAUUUGUUUAAAAUGCCAAAAAAAAAAAAAGAGGAAGAGAGAGUGAGAGAGAGCGAGAGCGACAGUUUAAUUUUGUACAGAUUAUGCUUACCUCAGGUUUCUUUAGUGUGCUUCAAUGCCCUUCUUUAAAUAUAACACUUAUCUUACUAACUUGGCAGCAAUUAUCCUUUUCUUUGUUUAAAAAAAAACCAACUGGAAUAAUGAUAACAUUUAUCUUUUUUUGCUGUUUAUAUUUAGGGGGGUUUGGUUUGGGGGUUUUCCGGGUUUUUUUGGUAAAUCAAGUCUUGGUUGUGGCUUGCUGAAUUUAAAUAUUUGAGUGGUGCAUUUUUAAGUAUAGUGAACAAGACACCAUAUUAAGUGCAGUGAAAAGCAUCUAUAUUCUGUAAAAAUCUGCCUAUGCAUGUUUUUUAAGAAAAAAAAUGGCUGUAUAGGCCUGUAUGGGACUGUAAUGCGCUUAGUGGUCUGACUUAUACUGGAAAUGUAUGUAUACUGGCGUACUUUAUAUUCUCUAAAAAAAAAAUGCUUAAUGCCUUUGAAAUUUUGUAAUCAAAAAAAAAAAGCUUUGACAAAUCUAAGGGGAGAGUAUUCUUAAAGUUUUUAACAUAAGCUUGUCGGUGCACAUAUAGAUGGGUAGCAUGUUUAGCAAACCUUGUGAAAUUUAAAUAAGUUUGUAAUUACAUGUGGAAUUCUAAAUGCAUGAUAACUGUUAACGUCAUAAUGGUUUAGUCAUUUUGUUCUGUUCUGUCACGUGCCACAAAAUGUGUAAUUUUUUCACUUUUUUCCCUUUGUAUAUCAGUUACGGGUUUCAACUGGUUCAUUCUAAAAAAAAAACUGAAAAAAAACCAAGAAAAAGAAACAAACCAGUCCAUUGAUAUUUUUUAAUAAUUGUAUAAGUGCCCAAGUAAUUCACUACAGCCUACAGCCUUGCCUUUGUAAUUUGACUUUGAAAUGUUGGCAAUCAAAGCAUGCACUUGUAACAAUGAAAGAAGCAUUUUAUAUUACUACUCAAUAAAACUGUGCAUGAACUUAA